CUAGAUGAGAGGGGAUCUCAUCGCGGGGUGGGGGGACUGGCACAAAAUGUCACAAGAAAACAGCACCAUCACAGAGAACAUAUGGACACCACUACAGCAUCUGCACAGGGUCUAUUCCAACUGAGAGCGAAAACUGGAUUAAAUUUACUUUGGGACCUUUGACUUGUUUUUGAUCAUGCCGGAUUUAUCAUGGAAACAGUCUUGGCAUAACCCGCAGGAUCAGAUGACACAGGCGGACUCCUCUCUGGCCGCAGCAUUGUGUAACACCAGCCAGUGCUGUGUUUAUCGUCCUGGACUGUUGGGGGAGGCGUCCUGUCCUGUACUGGAUCGGCACAAACAGCCAAGAGAAAGAAUGCCGUGUGCUUUCAUGAAUAUUAAGAUAGGAAUGAUAAUUUGGGCCAAAUUCAAAUAGACUAAAAGACAUAAAAAUGCAACAGCAGCAGGGUGUGUCUCUCUCUCACCAGACCCCUCUGUGAAUAAGAGUCCAGGCAAAGUGUUUUAUGGUCAGUGGAGGUGUAGAGGGAUUAGUGUUCAAGAUUGACAGUAAGGGUGUUGGGCUGAGAAGUGCUUAGAGUGUAAAUCAGAUGUUUGAAACUGACAGGGGGGUAAAAUGAAGAAUAAAAGGGUGUCACAGAGAAAUUGGUGGUGAGAGAAAAGGCUGAUCCACAGAUGAGAGAUGCCCAAAUGUUUAGUCAAACCUAUAGAAACUUCUGCUGUAGUUUCACAUACUUGAUGGUAUGGUAGCUUCGGAAAUCAGGGAAAAUGCAAAAGAAGGCUGCACAGAAACUGAACUAGAAAACAAUGUUAUUCCAGACAUGCAGGUUCACAGAUUUCCUAUUAUUUCUUAAAAAUUGUACUGAGAGGUGGAAAGUGGCACCCCUUACGAGUGUUCAGAUUUUAAAAAAGCACAAAGAGCCACCCACUUGCAGAAGCAUGUCUGUGACAUAUGAAUAUGUUGUUGUGUUUACUACAGUACAGAAGAUUUUAUUCUCUACUCUUGAGCCACGCCCCGGAAGAGCUCAAACCUCAGCCAAGAUGCACCAAAUCACCAUCCUCACUCCUUUCACUCCUUGUUACUUUUGUUUACAGGAAGCAGCUGAAGGCAUAACACCUUACAUCAGACCCAUCAAGUCUCACUCAUCUUAUCUAUGUUUUCUUAGGUUCACCGUGUCCACAGCAACACUGUUCCUCCAGUCACAGACGACGGCAUGAGAGCUCUUAGCCAGACUAAAGCAACAAAACAGUACAUUUUUAAACAUUACAGUACAUCAUGUGGCCUGUAAACAAUUUUGAUCAAUUUGUUGAUCUUCCAACAUUUUGUCAAAUUAAGAUCAGAUAAACAAAGUUAAACUGGAGUUGACAUGAAAAUUCCCACUGACUGCAGAAAGCCCCAGCCCUGCCAUGUUAAGAUAAAACCUGUUGCUAGUGGCAACAGCACAGAGAUACAGUAGAUCACGAUGACACGGCUGUCUCUGUGGACAUGAUAAAUAUCACCAAGUCUCCUCAAAGCCAUUAAGAUAAAGUUCCUUUGGAUUUUCUGAUGCUGUCAGGUAAAAAACAUUGCAGCUAAAAUCAUGGUUAUUUUUAUGUAUUACCCUUAGUCUGAAGGCUGAUACCGAUACCGGCUGAUACUGAUGAAGCCACUGCGGGAGGAGAACAUCUAAUUUGGCUAAACAAAAAAAUCACAAGUAUUCUUCUUAGUCACAUUUUGAAGUUGCAACUUUUUAACCUGACCGCGGCAGUCUCUUCUAUUAUUUUUCUCUUCCAUUAUUAUUCUUAAUUUCAAGUCUUGGUUUCAGUUUAUCAUGAGACGACUUCAUUGCCUUUGAGUUCCCUUUUGUGGUGCAAAUGUUUGGUCAGGUUUUCCUUUAUUAUACACAAAUGUCUAUUACUGUACAUAUGUGUUUCUAAUUAAAAUGGGUACAUUCUGUCAAGUAUGACACUGUAAACAAGGCACUGAAACAUUGAGCAGACAUUAGACAAGUUCCUGUGCCUGGUACUGGUGACCCACAUUAUGCCAGAUCACGUAAAUACACUUUUAAAAAAGGACUGUGAUGCCAGUUUGUCUUUGUAAUGACCCCCAGUAACAGACAUUGUUUACGGAACAUGUGACAACAAGUGAACCUGAACAGAAACAGCCCCCUUCUCUGAAUUCCCACAGAAAGACAUAACUUCAUCAACUGAGUUGUUGGGAAUUGAAAGUAAUCUCUGUGUGUGCAGAUUGUAUUUUAAACGUGUAUGAUGUGUGACAGUGUGACAGUGAGGGAAAAGAGGUCAGACUUUAUAUAUUACACACAUGUAUUAGGGGAAAACAAAGGCUUGGCCUGGUGUACUAAUCUAGCACUAACGUCAGCUAAGCUACUGUAGCCAGGCAGCAGUUCAAGCUGUGGAAGUAGCUGUGUCUCAGCAGCACGACAGAGCUUGGAUCCUGGAUCCUGCACCAACAUGGCGCCCAGCCUGCUUCAGUGCACAGCCAGAAGCCCACUGCUGAUUCAGGAUCUCUCUCCAAUGAGACUGUACAAACACGCAACAACCUUUGACUACUUGAAUCAACUCUGACCAGAAUAGCAUCAAGAAGAAAAACAUAACAAGGUCAGAAACAUCAUUAAUGAGGAGAUGCAGAUCUGACAGCGACACAGACAUGCCUGGAAGAAGUUGCCCUCCAACUGAACCUAAUCAAUGUCAUGUUGUUCAUUAGAAAAUGGAAAGAAACUGUGUAGUAAGCAUUACUGAUGGAAAGCUGUUUGAGAUAUAUUUCUGUCUUGUCCUGUGUGUUUGUCAUUAAAAUGCUUAAAUGAUUAAAUUGGUCUUAGCACGGUCAGGCCAAACUGAAAACAACAGUCUUUUUGUGCCCUCGCUAAUCUUUCUGUGUUGUAAGUCCAUUGUGAGAACUUUUCUUUCUUUGCAGACAUGUCUGUGUGUGUUUUGCUUCACUGUACGUGUCACUAAAAUGCAGACAGGACCUUGCACAAAAAGGUACUGGAAUAAAAACGCUUGAUUGUGUGUCUA
Long non-coding RNA from Siniperca chuatsi (mandarin fish), 3009 nucleotides. RefSeq lists it as uncharacterized. The transcript is spliced from 2 exons. The record is from RefSeq and is a predicted model, not a curated record. Lineage: Eukaryota; Metazoa; Chordata; Actinopteri; Centrarchiformes; Sinipercidae.